RNAcentral lists this non-coding RNA (24 nucleotides) under Callithrix jacchus (white-tufted-ear marmoset). The record is from RNAcentral. RNAcentral also lists the same sequence under 3 other names. Lineage: Eukaryota; Metazoa; Chordata; Mammalia; Primates; Cebidae.
UGGCAGUGUCUUAGCUGGUUGUUG